GACGAACGCUGGCGGCGUGCCUAACACAUGCAAGUCGAACGGAGUAAACCGCUGAAUUGAAGGUAGCUUGCUACUGAAUUUUCUUGGUUUACUUAGUGGCGGACGGGUGAGUAACGCGUGAGUAACCUGCCUUACAGAGGGGGACAACAGUUGGAAACGACUGCUAAUACCGCAUGAUGUUUCGAGAGGGCAUCCUCUUGAAACCAAAGGAGCAAUCCGCUGUAAGAUGGACUCGCGUCCAAUUAGAUAGUUGGUGGGGUAACGGCCCACCAAGUCGACGAUUGGUAGCCGGACUGAGAGGUUGAACGGCCACAUUGGGACUGAGACACGGCCCAGACUCCUACGGGAGGCAGCAGUGGGGAAUAUUGGGCAAUGGGGAAACCCUGACCCAGCAACGCCGCGUGAAGGAGAGCUGGUGAAUCUUUUAGCAGGACGAAGAACGUGACGGUACCUGCAGAAAAA
This 462-nucleotide ribosomal RNA is filed under the name uncultured bacterium. Its description in RNAcentral is "bacterial SSU rRNA". It matches the Rfam family "Bacterial small subunit ribosomal RNA", at positions 28 to 489 of the family's 1533-position model. The record is from RNAcentral.